GACGAACUGUGCGAACGUUGUUCGGAAUCACUGGGCUUAAAGGGCGCGUAGGCGGCUUAUCAAGUCAGGGGUGAAAUCCGGCAGCUCAACUGUCGAAGUGCCUUUGAUACUGACGAGCUCGAGGGAGAUAGGGGUGUGUGGAACUUCCGGUGGAGCGGUGAAAUGCGUUGAUAUCGGAAGGAACGCCGGUGGCGAAAGCGACACACUGGAUCUCUUCUGACGCUGAGGCGCGAAAGCCAGGGGAGCAAACGGG
RNAcentral lists this ribosomal RNA (253 nucleotides) under uncultured bacterium. RNAcentral describes it as "partial 16S ribosomal RNA". It matches the Rfam family "Bacterial small subunit ribosomal RNA", at positions 524 to 776 of the family's 1533-position model. The record is from RNAcentral.